This 69-nucleotide transfer RNA is filed under the name Dasyscopelus asper (prickly lanternfish). RNAcentral describes it as "Myctophum asperum (prickly lanternfish) tRNA-Arg". It matches the Rfam family "tRNA". From Rfam's summary of the family: Transfer RNA (tRNA) molecules are approximately 80 nucleotides in length. Lineage: Eukaryota; Metazoa; Chordata; Actinopteri; Myctophiformes; Myctophidae. The record is from RNAcentral. RNAcentral also lists the same sequence under 1 other name.
GGGCGGUUAGUCCAAAAAAGAUACUUGAUUUCGGCUCAAGAGAUUGAAGUUAAAGUCUUCAACCACCCU